AUUGAACGCUGGCGGCAGUCCUAACACAUGCAAGUCGAACGAGUGGCGGACGUGUGAGUAAUGUCUGGGAAACUGCCUGAUGGAGGGGGAUAACUACUGGAAACGGUAGCUAAUACCGCAUACCAUCAGAUGUGCCCAGAUGGGAUUAUCUAGUUGGGGGGGUAACGGAUAACCAAGGCGCCGAUCCCUAGCUGGUCUGAGAGGAUGACCAGCCAAACUGGAACGGAGACACGGUCCAGACGCCUACGGGAGGGAGCAGGGGGGAAUAGUGCACAAGGGGCGCAAGCCUGAUGCAGCCAUGCCGCGUGUAUGAAGAAGGCCUUCGGGUUGUAAAGGACUUUCAGCGGGGAGGCGUUACCCGCAGAAGAAGCACCGGCUAACUCCGUGCCAGCAGCCGCGGUAAUAC
This 406-nucleotide ribosomal RNA is filed under the name uncultured bacterium. RNAcentral describes it as "partial 16S ribosomal RNA". It matches the Rfam family "Bacterial small subunit ribosomal RNA", at positions 29 to 526 of the family's 1533-position model. The record is from RNAcentral.